AUGAUGCGGGAGAAACGUUCUAUUACUGUGGCUAAAGGUACACACGUCGAGAAGAAACACGCACAGGGCGACUUGAUGUUUGCAGUUAAGGAGUGGAAAGUAGGAUUUAAUGUUACUCACACUGUGUGUGUGUGUGUGUGUGUGUGUGUGUGCGUGUGUGUGUGUGUGUGUGUGUGUGUGUGCGUGCGUGCAGAGGGGAACAACGGAGUGCAGUGUCUGCUGUGUGGAAAUCGGUUUGCCAGCGUGAAGAACAUGAUCAAACACCAGGAGAAGGCUCACGCUGAUGAAGUGCGGCAACACAAGGAGAGAGCCAGAGCAGUGGUCCUCCUGGCGUCCAGUCAUCCUGUGGCGUUUGUCCAGAGCAAACUCUCCCAGGAAAACAAAAGUAUGGCGUCCAUCCCCGAAGGCGGCGAGCCACCCAACCCCGAACCAACCACCCCCAAAGCCACAGCGCCAUCAGCAGCCGGCGCCACCGACGACUCUGCUACCGCCAUCGCCAUCCUGCAGGACUUCAAGGCAGAGCCCGCUCACCCCGCCAUCACCACCGCCGACCAGGUGACCUUCGAACCCGACCAGGAGCAGACCAUCAACUCAGACACCCUCCACGCUCUGGUGGAGCAGCUGCGGCCGCCGCCCUCCCCCGCCCAGAGCCUGGAGCAGAUCGUCAUCAUCAGGACGGUGGACAACCCUGAACACAACCCUCCGCAGCAGUGAGCCCCCCCCCCCCCCCCCUCGGGGGUCACUGGUGGAACAUUUUCACUUUUUAACUUACAAGCCAGUUCGGGUCAAAGUCAGCGCUCACAUUCAGCCUCGUGUCCCAUCGAGUAGUUUUAAUGGACUUCCAGUCUGCAAGGGAAAGAUGAUUGUUGUAUAACUUCACCACGUUCACAGCUGAGAUCAGGAAACACACACGUUGUAAACAAACUGUCCGUUAUGAACGUCCGGCAUCGACUUCCUCCCUCACUGUCGUCGUGUGCACAGUUCUUGUGCAUUAAAGGAUUAUUACCAACAUUUCAGGAGCGCUCACUUUCAGACCGAAACGAAGUGGUUUAAAUAAUCUGGAUGAACACUUUGUGUACAAACUGUCUAAUUGCUGAUGAUUACUUUGACUUAGUAUUACGUUAUUAUUACUCAUUAUUACUAAAUGAUGGUGAAACUAGAAAAAAAGACCUGAAUUGUAAGAAAACAAAGAUUAAUCCUUUAACUCAUUUCCUGUCUCUAUUUAUUUUGGUUUCCACAAACAACUGAAAACAUUUACCGUCUACUUCUCCGUCAUGUCUGACUGUCUCAAGAGGACACUUUUAAUCCCUUCGUUGGUCUAAGUCACUAAAUCUUCAUUCAGAAAGCACUGAUCUGGUGCCAGUACUGACCCUAACAGGAGGCUCGUGGGACAUGACCGAUACAAAUUAAAUACAAAUUCUUGUCAAUGUCCAAAAGUCCAAAAACGUAAUUGUUGGGCCACAAACUCCAGGAGCCUUUUUUUGUAAUUUUUCUAAAUACAAACAUGUUUUUCUUUUUUUACACAAAGAGAUUUAAAGAUUUUAAAUAUGUGUAAAAAAGAGCUUCAGCUGAUAUCUUGAGUUUGGGUGUGAAAAAGAAGAAUCUGCUGAUAUGUGGACAUGUUGACGUCGGAUAGAAACCGCCGCUGCCGUCACUACUUUACCAAAAAACUUGAGACCAACAUUUUCUCGGACGUCGAUGUUACUGCAGUUGCUCUUCUGCUGCAGCUCUGGUUGUAUUAAUGAUCUCAUGAAACGUUUCUCAGACCUCAACGUCGGGCAAAUAAAUGUGUCGGCCAGAACAACUCGUACAUUGUUUUAAUAGAUGAUGUAGUUGGUAGGAGCCGUGAUCGCCACGAGAUAUGAUUUUAAUCAUAAGUGUCUGACGUGAUGGUGGCUUUAUUAAUCUAAACAACAAGGUUUUUGUUUCAGUGUAUUAUAGUUUUUAUUUUUUAAAGCAGCUGUUUUAGGACUUAGCAGAAGAGUUUGUGCUUCAAGUUUAAAAAGUGCAUUAUAUUUCUAUCAACUUGAAAGUGAAGUUUUUGUUUCAUGCUAUUUUCUUUUUUUUUAGAGAGAGAGAGAGAUAUAUAUAUCUGUGACCAGAAGAAUGUGCAGGUUUGUGAGAGAAAUAAAUGGUAAUGUUUAAAAAAUAAGAAUAUAUUAAUAGUAAAGUAACCAAACACACUUUUAUUUCGUCAUUCAUAAAACCGUGACUUCAGGCGGAUUGUCUUUAAAAAGAUGCAAUAAUCUGUUGAUUAAUUAAUUUGUUGCUUGUAAAUGAGAUUAAGUUUCAUAAUAAUGUAAGAAUAUACAUUUAGAGUUGUGUGUUU
Cottoperca gobio is the source of this 2329-nucleotide long non-coding RNA. NCBI's taxonomy places the organism in Eukaryota, Metazoa, Chordata, Actinopteri, Perciformes, Bovichtidae. The record is from Ensembl.